UACGUAGGGACCGAGCGUUGUCCGGAAUCAUUGGGCGUAAAGAGCGUGUAGGCGGCCAGAUAGGUCCGUUGUGAAAACUCGAGGCUCAACCUCGAGACGCCGAUGGAAACCAUUUGGCUAGAGUCCGGAAGAGGAGAGUGGAAUUCCUGGUGUAGCGGUGAAAUGCGCAGAUAUCAGGAGGAACACCGAUGGCGAAGGCAGCUCGCUGGGACGGUACUGACGCUGAGGCGCGAAAGCGUGGGGAGCGAACAGG
Molecule: ribosomal RNA, 253 nt
Filed under: uncultured bacterium
Lineage: Bacteria
Description: partial 16S ribosomal RNA
Rfam family: Bacterial small subunit ribosomal RNA
Source: RNAcentral